UACGGAGGGAGCUAGCGUUGUUCGGAAUUACUGGGCGUAAAGCGCACGUAGGCGGCUUUGUAAGUUAGAGGUGAAAGCCCGGGGCUCAACCCCGGAAUUGCCUUUAAGACUGCAUCGCUUGAAUCCAGGAGAGGUGAGUGGAAUUCCGAGUGUAGAGGUGAAGUUCGUAGAUAUUCGGAAGAACACCAGUGGCGAAGGCGGCUCACUGGACUGGUAUUGACGCUGAGGUGCGAAAGCGUGGGGAGCAAACAGG
Molecule: ribosomal RNA, 253 nt
Filed under: uncultured bacterium
Lineage: Bacteria
Description: partial 16S ribosomal RNA
Rfam family: Bacterial small subunit ribosomal RNA
Source: RNAcentral